CUUCCGAAAUCCAUUGUUGCGGACGGACCCCUUCGGGCCCAGGCGUAGUAGCAUAACCCCUCUUGCCGCGGCUCCCAGUGGGUUGACGUUCCUGCCCACGACCCCACUAUUCUAACGCGCUUGACCUCGAAUCAGGUAGGGAUACCCGCUGAACUUAAGCAUAUCAAUAAGCGGAGGAAAAGAAACCAACAGGGAUUGCCUCAGUAACUGCGAGUGAAGCGGCAAGAGCUCAAAUUUGAAAGCUGGCACCUUUGGUGUCCGCGUUGUAAUUUGGAGAGGCAUCUUCGGGUGGGGCGCCGGUUCAAGUUCCUUGGAACAGGACGUCACAGAGGGUGAGAAUCCCGUGCGUGGCUGGCUGUCCCCGUCCAUGUGAAGUGUCUUCGACGAGUCGAGUUGUUUGGGAAUGCAGCUCAAAAUGGGUGGUAAACUCCAUCUAAAGCUAAAUACUGGCGAGAGACCGAUAGCGCACAAGUAGAGUGAUCGAAAGAUGAAAAGCACUUUGAAAAGAGAGUUAAAAAGUACGUGAAAUUGUUGAAAGGGAAGCGCUUGAGACCAGACUCAGCGCGGGGUAUUCAUCUCCCGUUCUCGGGGGUGUACUUGCCUCGUGUUGGGCCAGCAUCGGUUGUGGCGGCGGGAUAAAGGCCUGGGGAACGUGGCUCGCCUCGGUGAGUGUUACAGCCCUGGGCGUCAUGCCGCCUGCCGCGACCGAGGACCGCGCUUCGGCUAGGAUGCUGGCGUAAUGGUCUUCAGCGACCCGUCUUGAAACACGGACCAAGGAGUCUAACAUCUAUGCGAGUGUUCGGGUGUCAAACCCUUGCGCGGAAUGAAAGUGAACGGAGGUGUGAAGCCGCAAGGCCGCAACAUCGACCGAUCCUGAAGUUUACGGAUGGAUUUGAGUAGGAGCAUAGCUGUUGGGACCCGAAAGAUGGUGAACUAUGCCUGAAUAGGGUGAAGCCAGAGGAAACUCUGGUGGAGGCUCGCAGCGGUUCUGACGUGCAAAUCGAUCGUCAAAUUUGGGUAUAGGGGCGAAAGACUAAUCGAACCAUC
RNAcentral lists this ribosomal RNA (1047 nucleotides) under Pseudosarcosoma latahense. RNAcentral's name for it is "eukaryotic LSU rRNA". The stretch from base 122 to 1047 matches the Rfam family "Eukaryotic large subunit ribosomal RNA", at positions 1 to 944 of the family's 3401-position model. The record is from RNAcentral. Lineage: Eukaryota; Fungi; Ascomycota; Pezizomycetes; Pezizales; Chorioactidaceae.